CCUACGGGUGACAGCAGUGGGGGAUAUUGCACAAUGGGGGAAACCCUGAUGCAGCGACGCCGCGUGGGUGAAGAAGUAUUUCGGUAUGUAAAGCCCUAUCAGCAGGGAAGAAAGAAGACGGUACCUGACUAAGAAGCCCCGGCUAACUACGUGCCAGCAGCCGCGGUAAUACGUAGGGGGCGAGCGUUAUCCGGAUUCACUGGGUGUAAAGGGAGCGUAGACGGCCGUGCAAGCCAGGAGUGAAAGCCCGGGGCCCAACCCCGGGACUGCUCUUAGAACUGUGCGGCUGGAGUGCGGGAGGGGCAGGCGGAAUUCCUGGUGUAGCGGUGAAAUGCGUAGAUAUCAGGAGGAACACCGGCGGCGAAGGCGGCCUGCUGGACCGCGACUGACGUUGAGGCUCGAAAGCGUGGGGAGCGAACAGGAUUAGAUACCCGGGUAGUC
This 441-nucleotide ribosomal RNA is filed under the name uncultured bacterium. Its description in RNAcentral is "partial 16S ribosomal RNA". It matches the Rfam family "Bacterial small subunit ribosomal RNA", at positions 338 to 795 of the family's 1533-position model. The record is from RNAcentral.